GUGUUCCUACGGGAGGCAGCAGUGGGGAAUAUUGCACAAUGGGGGAAACCCUGAUGCAGCGACGCCGCGUGAGUGAAGAAGUAUUUCGGUAUGUAAAGCUCUAUCAGCAGGGAAGAAAACGGACGGUACCUGACUAAGAAGCCCCGGCUAACUACGUGCCAGCAGCCGCGGUAAUACGUAGGGGGCGAGCGUUAUCCAGAUUUACUGGGUGUAAAGGGAGCGUAGACGGCUGGGCAAGCCUGAUGUGAAAGGCGGGGGCGCAACCCUCGGACUGCAUUGGGAACUGUCCGGCUGGAGCGCCGGAG
This 305-nucleotide ribosomal RNA is filed under the name uncultured bacterium. RNAcentral's name for it is "bacterial SSU rRNA". It matches the Rfam family "Bacterial small subunit ribosomal RNA", at positions 333 to 654 of the family's 1533-position model. The record is from RNAcentral.